CCAAGGAGUCCAACAUGUGCGCGAGUCAUGGGGUCUUACGAAACCCAAAGGCGCAAUGAAAGUGAAGGCAGUCUCCGAUUGCCCAGGCAGGAUCCCGUCGUCCUCGUGGCGGCGGGCGCACUGCCGGCCCGUCUCAGCCGCAUCGUCGGCGAGGCGGAGCAAGAGCGCACACGUUGGGACCCGAAAGAUGGUGAACUAUGUCUGAGCAGGACGAAGUCAGAGGAAACUCUGAUGGAGGUCCGCAGCGAUUCUGACGUGCAAAUCGAUCGUCAAACUUGGAUAUAGGGGCGAAAGACUAAUCGAACCAUCUA
RNAcentral lists this ribosomal RNA (311 nucleotides) under Spisula subtruncata. RNAcentral describes it as "eukaryotic LSU rRNA". It matches the Rfam family "Eukaryotic large subunit ribosomal RNA", at positions 666 to 946 of the family's 3401-position model. Lineage: Eukaryota; Metazoa; Mollusca; Bivalvia; Venerida; Mactridae. The record is from RNAcentral.